RNAcentral lists this non-coding RNA (147 nucleotides) under Nomascus leucogenys (northern white-cheeked gibbon). Lineage: Eukaryota; Metazoa; Chordata; Mammalia; Primates; Hylobatidae. The record is from Rfam by way of RNAcentral.
GCUGGGUGUGGUGGCGCACACCUGUAGUCCCAGCUACUCGGGAGGCUGAGGCAGGAGAAUCACUUGAACCUGGGAGGCAGAGGGUGCAGUGAGCCAAGAUUGUGCCACUGCACUCCAGCCUGGUGACAGAGCGAGACUCUGUCUCAA